UUUCCUUUUUUUUCUUUUUUUGCCACUACCAUACCACUCGGCAGUUUCUCAGGUCCCUCGCGCAGCUCGCUGAAAACGCAUGCAACUUUACUUUGAGUUGCAGUUGAAG
Strongylocentrotus purpuratus (purple sea urchin) is the source of this 109-nucleotide long non-coding RNA. RefSeq lists it as uncharacterized. NCBI's taxonomy places the organism in Eukaryota, Metazoa, Echinodermata, Echinoidea, Camarodonta, Strongylocentrotidae. The transcript has 2 exons. The record is from RefSeq and is a predicted model, not a curated record.